UGCGUAGGCGGGCUAAUAAGUCAGUGGUGAAAUCCUGCGGCUUAACCGUAGAACUGCCAUUGAUACUGUUGCCCUUGAGUAUAGUUGAGGUGGGCGGAAUAUGUAAUGUAGCGGUGAAAUGCAUAGAUAUUACAUAGAACACCAAUUGCGAAGGCAGCUCACUAAGCUAUCACUGACGCUGAGGCACGAAAGCGUGGGGAGCGAACAGGAUUAGAUAAACGGGUAGGAC
Molecule: ribosomal RNA, 229 nt
Filed under: uncultured bacterium
Lineage: Bacteria
Description: partial 16S ribosomal RNA
Rfam family: Bacterial small subunit ribosomal RNA
Source: RNAcentral